This 253-nucleotide ribosomal RNA is filed under the name uncultured bacterium. Its description in RNAcentral is "partial 16S ribosomal RNA". It matches the Rfam family "Bacterial small subunit ribosomal RNA", at positions 524 to 776 of the family's 1533-position model. The record is from RNAcentral.
UACGUAGGGUGCAAGCGUUGUCCGGAAUUAUUGGGCGUAAAGAGCUCGUAGGCGGUUUGUCGCGUCUGCUGUGAAAACUCGGGGCUUAACUCCGGGCCUGCAGUGGGUACGGGCAGACUAGAGUGCGGUAGGGGAGACUGGAAUUCCUGGUGUAGCGGUGAAAUGCGCAGAUAUCAGGAGGAACACCGGUGGCGAAGGCGGCAUCCUGGACCAUUACUGACACUGAAAAGCGAAAGCCAGGGGAGCAAACGGG